This 460-nucleotide ribosomal RNA is filed under the name uncultured bacterium. RNAcentral describes it as "partial 16S ribosomal RNA". It matches the Rfam family "Bacterial small subunit ribosomal RNA", at positions 338 to 795 of the family's 1533-position model. The record is from RNAcentral.
CCUACGGGAGGCUGCAGUGAGGACUAUUUGUCAAUGGGCGCGAGCCUGAACCAGCCAAGUAGCGUGAAGGAUGACUGCCCUACGGGUUGUACACUUCUUUUAUAAAGGAAUAAAGUGAGGCACGUGUGCCUUUUUGUAUGUACUUUAUGAAUAAGGAUCGGCUAACUCCGUGCCAGUAGCCGCGGUAAUACGGAGGAUCCGAGCGUUAUCCGGAAUUAUUGGGUUUAAAGGGAGCGUAGAUGGGUUGUUAAGUCAGUUGUGAAAGUUUGCGGCUCAACCGUAAGAUUGCAAUUGAUACUGGGAGUCUUGAGUACAGUUGAGGUAGGCGGAAUUCGUGGUGUAGCGGUGAAAUGCUUAGAUAUCACGAAGAACUCCGAUUGCGAAGGCAGCUUACUAAACUGCCACUGACAUUGAUGCUCGAAAGUGUGGGUAUCAAACAGGAUUAGAUACCCGGGUAGUC